Long non-coding RNA from Alosa sapidissima (American shad), 1073 nucleotides. RefSeq lists it as uncharacterized. The record is from RefSeq and is a predicted model, not a curated record. Lineage: Eukaryota; Metazoa; Chordata; Actinopteri; Clupeiformes; Clupeidae. The transcript has 3 exons.
AGAUUGUUAAGUACACUCCUGUUAUUCUGGAUCCAAACACUGCAUGCCCAGAUCUCAUUUUGUCUGAGGACCUGACCAGUAUGAGAAAAAAAUAUGUUAAUGGAAAGGCAGAAGAUCAUGGUGAUAACAAUGAAGAAGACAAUGAUGACAAACAUGACGAAUACCAUGGUGACGGCAAUGAAGAAAACUGUGACACUGAAGACCAUGGCAAUGACAAUAAAGAAGAUGUUGAGGAUGACAAUGAAGAAGACAAUAAUGAUGAGUCAGAACUUCCUGAUAACCCAGAGAGAUUCGAUGAGUAUCCCAGUGUCUUGGGCUCUGAGGGUUUCAACUCAGGGACUCACUGCUGGGAUGUGGAGGUUGGAGAAAACACAAGGUGGUGGGUGUGAUGACCGAGACUCUCCAGAGGAAGGGAUAUUUUGACAAUAUGAGUGGAGAGUUGUACAUGAUUUAUUUUGAUGAUACAUACACAGCAUGUGCUGCACCACAGCCUGACACUCCCCUCACAGUGAAGCAGAAACCCCAGAGGAUCAGAGUGCAGCUGGACUGGGACAGAGGAGAGCUGUCAUUCUCUGACCCUGAUAAUAACACACACCUACACACUCACACACACUUUCACUGACAGAGUGUUUCCAUACUUUUAUAUUGACUGUGAACUCUCUUCUCUGAGGAUCUUACCAGUGAAGGCCUCUGUUAGGCUAGAACAGGGUAGAUAAAGCGUCUGUCACAAGGUGGAGAUGUUGACGCUGUAAUAAAGACAUAACAUACAGAGUUUGUUGACUUUACUGAUGUGCAUUCUAGGACCUUUGUGUCUGUAUUGCAAACAAAAAAAGACACAAUUUCCCAGGGAAUUGAAUGUAAAAUCAUCUAGAUGUGUCCUAGAUGUGGUUUGUCUGUGUAAGCUUCAAAUUACUUUCUGUUCAGGGGUUCAUGUUUUAGAAAUUUUAACUGCCAAAUGCUACCUGGUGACCAUUGUUGAAAGCAAAUGAGAGCUCAUACAAAUUGCAACACUUUGUAAAUAAAAUGUAUUUCUUUAUUUUUGAAUUUGAGUAUUAAAUUAUAUCUAACACCUA